UCUACUUUCCUCCAUGAAAUGCAAAGGUGUUUCCUGUUCAGCUUGAGCAGACUCUUGUUCACUUGCUCUUGUUCACUUGUUCAGAGAAGGUCUUAGGAACACAUGAAGAAUUUGAAGAUCGCUGGCAGUGAUGGUGACAGUACAGAUACACCGUGAGGAAUGCAGUGAGCUUGAAUUUAAUCCUUCUGAAAUCCAUGAAGUGCAAAAAUUUUAAUUUUUGAGCAACAGAGCAAUAAGCAGAGUUCUUUUGGAGCUCCUUUAUGACUCUGGAGGGAAGAAUGAGAAGAAUACAUUUUGGCACUUCACUGUACAUGCAGUCAUCAACAAGGCCCAGACAUAAACUCUUUUUUUUCCCAAAUAAAUAGA
Molecule: long non-coding RNA, 366 nt
Organism: Catharus ustulatus (Swainson's thrush)
Lineage: Eukaryota; Metazoa; Chordata; Aves; Passeriformes; Turdidae
Exons: 3
Source: RefSeq, a predicted model, not a curated record